UUUUUAUUAGACGUUGACCGUCAUGUGUUGCGCUUUUAUUGGACGCUGACGUUAAUUAGGUGCACGAAAUUAAUGUCUAAUAAAAGCAUGACACGUGGCGGUCAACGUUC
This 110-nucleotide microRNA precursor is filed under the name Glycine max (soybean). Its description in RNAcentral is "MIR1520 microRNA precursor family". It matches the Rfam family "MIR1520 microRNA precursor family". The record is from Rfam by way of RNAcentral. Lineage: Eukaryota; Viridiplantae; Streptophyta; Magnoliopsida; Fabales; Fabaceae.